UACGUAGGGGGCAAGCGUUGUCCGGAAUCAUUGGGCGUAAAGCGCGUGUAGGCGGCCAGAAAAGUCCGCUGUGAAAACUCGAGGCUCAACUUCGAGCUGUCGGUGGAAACUUUCUGGCUAGAGUCCGGAAGAGGAGAAUGGAAUUCCUGGUGUAGCGGUGAAAUGCGCAGAUAUCGGGAAGAACACCCGUGGCGAAGGCGGCUCUCUGGGACGGUACUGACGCUGAGACGCGAAAGCGUGGGGAGCGAACAGG
RNAcentral lists this ribosomal RNA (253 nucleotides) under uncultured bacterium. RNAcentral describes it as "partial 16S ribosomal RNA". It matches the Rfam family "Bacterial small subunit ribosomal RNA", at positions 524 to 776 of the family's 1533-position model. The record is from RNAcentral.